Molecule: ribosomal RNA, 306 nt
Filed under: Triticum aestivum (bread wheat)
Lineage: Eukaryota; Viridiplantae; Streptophyta; Magnoliopsida; Poales; Poaceae
Description: partial small subunit ribosomal RNA
Source: RNAcentral
GCCCAGGUAGUUCGUACAGCAGGUUCACCUCGACCAACCAACUGGAUUCCCCCGGCUGGAGAUCACUUCAAGAUUAACACUAAUGCUGCGGUGUCAAGAUGGGGAGGUAAGGGGGCUGUAGCAGCUAUAUGUCGUGAUGAACAAGGUAACUUUCUUGGAGCCUCUUCGGUUUUGGUCAACAAUAUAGAAGAUCCGGAGACUCUAGAAGUGAUGGCGAUCAGAGAAGCUAUGGCCUUAGCAAAUGAUCUAUAUAUAUCCAAAAAAAAUCGGUGGCAUCGGACUGUAAGAUUGCGGUCGAAGCAGUAA